This is a non-coding RNA of Phrynosoma platyrhinos (Desert horned lizard), 74 nucleotides long. NCBI's taxonomy places the organism in Eukaryota, Metazoa, Chordata, Lepidosauria, Squamata, Phrynosomatidae. The record is from the annotation of a GenBank genome assembly.
GACCCAGUAUGGCACAGUGAUUUGAGUGUUGGACUACAACUCUGGAGACCAGGGUUCAAUUCCCUACAUGGCCA